Molecule: ribosomal RNA, 460 nt
Filed under: uncultured bacterium
Lineage: Bacteria
Description: partial 16S ribosomal RNA
Rfam family: Bacterial small subunit ribosomal RNA
Source: RNAcentral
CCUACGGGUGACAGCAGUGAGGAAUAUUGGUCAAUGGGCGCGAGCCUGAACCCGCCAAGUAGCGUGAAGGAUGACUGCCCUACGGGUUGUAAACUUCUUUUAUAAAGGAAUAAAGUGAGGCACGUGUGCCUUUUUGUAUGUACUUUAUGAAUAAGGAUCGGCUAACUCCGUGCCAGCAGCCGCGGUAAUACGGAGGAGCCGAGCGUUAUCCGGAUUUAGUGGGUUUAAAGGGAGCGUAGAUGGGUUGGUAAGUCAGUUGUGAAAGUUUGCGGAUCAACCGUAAAAUUGCAAUUGAUACUGGCAGUCUUGAGUACAGUUGAGGUAGGCGGAAUGCGUGGUGUAGCGGUGAAAUGCUUAGAUAUCACGAAGAACCCCGAUUGCGAAGGCAGCUUACUAAACUGUGACUGACAUUGAUGCUCGAAAGUGUGGGUAUCAAACAGGAUUAGAUACCCGAGUAGUC